CUCAUUAUGUGUAAAUAACACACACAGAUCGGCACAUGCACCGGGGUGCUCUCAUGCGGUUAACUCAAUUUGAUAUGAAUAACCCGCAGUCAAAGAGUCGGUGUUAUGGGAUCUGUGGAGGCAUAAC
This 127-nucleotide small RNA is filed under the name Xenorhabdus beddingii. RNAcentral describes it as "t44". It matches the Rfam family "t44 RNA". Rfam says of the family: This family consists of a number of bacterial RNA genes of between 135 and 170 bases in length. The t44 gene is found between the map and rpsB genes in all species in the full alignment apart from Shigella flexneri. The function of this RNA is unknown. The record is from RNAcentral. Lineage: Bacteria; Pseudomonadati; Pseudomonadota; Gammaproteobacteria; Enterobacterales; Morganellaceae.